CCUACGGGCGGCAGCAGUGGGGAAUAUUGCGCAAUGGGCGAAAGCCUGACGCAGCGACGCCGCGUGAGGGAUGAAGGUCUUCGGAUCGUAAACCUCUGUCAGCAGGGAAGAACGGUCACUGUGCUAAUCAGCAGUGAAUUGACGGUACCUGCAAAGGAAGCACCGGCUAACUCCGUGCCAGCAGCCGCGGUAAUACGGAGGGUGCGAGCGUUAAUCGGAAUUACUGGGCGUAAAGCGCUCGUAGGCGGUAUGUCAAGUCAAGGGUGAAAUCCCCGCGCUCAACGUGGGAACGGCCUUUGAAACUGGCAAACUGGAGUGUGUGAGAGGAUAGUGGAAUUCCAGGUGUAGGAGUGAAAUGCGUAGAUAUCUGGAGGAACAUCAGUGGCGAAGGCGACUAUCUGGCACAUAACUGACGCUGAGGAGCGAAAGCGUGGGUAGCAAACAGGAUUAGAUACCCGAGUAGUC
RNAcentral lists this ribosomal RNA (465 nucleotides) under uncultured bacterium. RNAcentral's name for it is "partial 16S ribosomal RNA". It matches the Rfam family "Bacterial small subunit ribosomal RNA", at positions 338 to 795 of the family's 1533-position model. The record is from RNAcentral.